Molecule: ribosomal RNA, 253 nt
Filed under: uncultured bacterium
Lineage: Bacteria
Description: partial 16S ribosomal RNA
Rfam family: Bacterial small subunit ribosomal RNA
Source: RNAcentral
GACAGAGGCCUCGAGCGUUAGGCGGAAUCACUGGGCUUAAAGCGUGUGUAGGCGGAUCGUUAAGUACCUUGUGAAAUCCCACGGCUCAACCGUGGAACGGCUGGGUAUACUGGCGGUCUUGGGCCAUUCAGGGGCGACUGGAACAAGCGGUGGAGCGGUGAAAUGCGUAGAGAUGCGGAGGAACACCGAUGGCGAAGGCAGCCCCCUGGGCUAACACUGACGCUGAGGCACGAAAGCGUGGGGAGCAAACAGG